This is a small nucleolar RNA of Arachis stenosperma, 106 nucleotides long. The record is from RefSeq and is a predicted model, not a curated record. NCBI's taxonomy places the organism in Eukaryota, Viridiplantae, Streptophyta, Magnoliopsida, Fabales, Fabaceae.
AUGCUAUGAAAAAGGGUAUAAGAUGCACGUGCAUCAACCUCUCCCAGACUUCAUAGAGGGACUCUCCCUCUUUCUGUUUGAAGCUCUGGACUUUCACUCUAAGCUU